CCUACGGGAGGCAGCAGUGGGGAAUAUUGCACAAUGGGGGAAACCCUGAUGCAGCGACGCCGCGUGAGUGAAGAAGGAUUUCGGGAUGUAAAGCUCUAGCAGCAGGGAAGAAGAAAGAGGGAACCGGACGAAGAAGCCCGGGCUAACUACGUGCCAGCAGCCGCGGUAAUAGGUCGGGGGCAAGCGUUAACCGGAUUUACGGGGUGGAAAGGGAGCGGAGACGGUAGGGCAGGGCGGACGGGAAAGCCCAGGGCUUAACCCUGGGACUGCUUUGGAACCGGUUAGACUUGAGUGCUGGAGAGGUAAGUGGACUUCCUAGUGUAGCGGUGCACUGCGUAGCUCUUAGG
Molecule: ribosomal RNA, 347 nt
Filed under: uncultured bacterium
Lineage: Bacteria
Description: partial 16S ribosomal RNA
Rfam family: Bacterial small subunit ribosomal RNA
Source: RNAcentral